UACGUAGGGGACAAGCGUUGUCCGGAUUUACUGGGCGUAAAGAGCGCGCAGGCGGUCGAUCAAGUCGAGUGUGAAAGCCCCCGGCUCAACUGGGGAGGGUCAUUCGAUACUGAUCGACUCGAAGGCAGGAGAGGGUAGUGGAAUUCCCGGUGUAGCGGUGAAAUGCGCAGAUAUCGGGAAGAACACCUAUGGCGAAGGCAGCUCUCUGGGACGGUACUGACGCUGAGACGCGAAAGCGUGGGGAGCAAACAGG
Molecule: ribosomal RNA, 253 nt
Filed under: uncultured bacterium
Lineage: Bacteria
Description: partial 16S ribosomal RNA
Rfam family: Bacterial small subunit ribosomal RNA
Source: RNAcentral